CGUACUUACUAGCCAUCAGAGCACAAUAUGAAGGCAAAAUGGAAUUGCCCCUCGAUAUGGUGAGUUUUUUUCCUUCUAUCUGCCCGACUAUAAAUCGUGAUACAUUGUCUAUCAAGAUAUGAUGGUCUCAGAAACGGAACAGAAGUGAUUGUGCCGGUCCUGUUUUUGUCUGAGACUGAGUCAAUGUUGAGGGUGGGAAAGAGGGGGUAUGGAUCACGUUUCACUCAACAAAAAAAAGGUCGUUUCACGAUUCACGUGUCUUAAAAAAGCAAUUUCACGGAAAACUAGAUUCUAAUAAAGUAAUAUAAUAAUGAUAGGUUUAUUAAGAGUAUGUUUAGGUACAGUAUCUACGCUUUAAGUUCUCUCGCUUCUCUACCUGUCAGUUAAAAACUACAUCAUAACUUACAAGUUUGAGUGACGAACAUGUACGACGACCUCCGAAAGGUCUCCGAAGUUUUUACUCUUGUGCAAUCGAGUGAGAUCAUAUAAAUUGAUUAUCGCGUAUCAUGUUUAUUAUGACUAUUAUAAAAUAGAUCGAAAUAAACAAAGCAAAAUCACAGUUCACGAAACAGACAUCCUUAAUUCUCAUUUCACGGAGGAUUUUUAUCGACAAUCACGCCUCACGGCCGUAGAACAAAUCACUUUUCACGACACUAAAAUCAAGCAUUUCACAUUUCACGCGAACAAAUAUUGACCAUUCACGGCUCACGAAAAUACCCUUUCCCACCCUCUAUGUUAAUUUGUGCAAGGUCACGGUGAUUGAGCUCAUGAUGAAACGUGCAACCACGAUGAAUAAUAUUUAUAAAUGAAGUUGAGACAAAGGAUGUGUGCACGGUGACUAGGUACAGUUCAACAUCAAACAAAGGCUUUCUAUUUUGUGGUUUUGAAGUUUGCCGGGCUUCCAGAGCAUCAUAUCUUGACAUACUAUGAUUUGUGAGUAGUGGCGGUAAUUCACUUUUCACGAUGUUGUCAUUGUACGUUCAUCCAUAGUUAAUAGAAA
This is a non-coding RNA of Paramuricea clavata, 1000 nucleotides long. Lineage: Eukaryota; Metazoa; Cnidaria; Anthozoa; Malacalcyonacea; Plexauridae. The record is from the annotation of a GenBank genome assembly.